GAUGAACGCUGGCGGCGUGCCUAACACAUGCAAGUCGAACGGCAGCACGAGGAGCUUGCUCCUUGGUGGCGAGUGGCGGACGGGUGAGUAACGCGUAGGAAUCUACCCUAUAGUAGGGGACAACCCGGGGAAACUCGGGCUAAUACCGCAUAAUCUCUACGGAGGAAAGCGGGGGACCUUUCGAGGCCUCGCGCUGUAGGAUGGGCCUGCGUCGGAUUAGCUUGUUGGUGGGGUAAUGGCCUACCAAGGCGACGAUCCGUAGCUGGUUUGAGAAGAUGAUCAGCCACACUGGGACUGAGACACGGCCCAGACUCCUACGGGAGGCAGCAGUGGAGAAUAUUGGACAAUGGGGGCAACCCUGAUCCAGCAAUGCCGCGUGUGUGAAGAAGGCCUUCGGGUUGUAAAGCACUUUCAGUGGGGAAGAAAGAACCAAGAUUAAUACUCUUGGGAGUUGACGUUACCCACAGAAGAAGCACUGGCUAACUCUGUG
Molecule: ribosomal RNA, 490 nt
Filed under: uncultured bacterium
Lineage: Bacteria
Description: bacterial SSU rRNA
Rfam family: Bacterial small subunit ribosomal RNA
Source: RNAcentral